RNAcentral lists this non-coding RNA (109 nucleotides) under Evansella cellulosilytica. RNAcentral describes it as "Bacillus cellulosilyticus SAM-I sequence". It matches the Rfam family "SAM riboswitch aptamer (S box leader)". From Rfam's summary of the family: The SAM riboswitch is found upstream of a number of genes which code for proteins involved in methionine or cysteine biosynthesis in Gram-positive bacteria. The SAM riboswitch acts at the level of transcription termination control. Lineage: Bacteria; Bacillati; Bacillota; Bacilli; Caryophanales; Bacillaceae. The record is from RNAcentral. RNAcentral also lists the same sequence under 1 other name.
UUCUUAUCCAGAGAGGCGGAGGGACUGGCCCGAUGAAGCCCGGCAACCACCAAGGUGACUUGGAAAAGGUGCCAAUUCCUGCAAAGUGUGAUGCUUUGAUAGAUGAGGG